GGGUCUGAUGCUAUUGCACCACAUGUGUUUUUCUUUGAAACAAACUUGCUUUGGCGGUGGGCCCAGCCUGCCGCCAGAGGUCUAAACUUACAACCAAUUUUUUAUUAACUUGUCACACCAGAUUAUUACUUAAUAGUCAAAACUUUCAACAACGGAUCUCUUGGUUCUCGCAUCGAUGAAGAACGCAGCGAAAUGCGAUACGUAAUAUGAAUUGCAGAUAUUCGUGAAUCAUCGAAUCUUUGAACGCACAUUGCGCCCUCUGGUAUUCCGGAGGGCAUGCCUGUUUGAGCGUCGUUUCUCCCUCAAACCGCUGGGUUUGGUGUUGAGCAAUACGACUUGGGUUUGCUUGAAAGACGGUAGUGGUAAGGCGGGAUCGCUUUGACAAUGGCUUAGGUCUAACCAAAAACAUUGCUUGCGGCGGUAACGUCCACCACGUAUAUCUUCAAACUUUGACCUCAAAUCAGGUAGGACUACCCGCUGAACUUAAGCAUAUCAAAAGGGGGGGAGGAA
RNAcentral lists this ribosomal RNA (510 nucleotides) under Candida albicans. RNAcentral's name for it is "eukaryotic LSU rRNA". The stretch from base 141 to 294 matches the Rfam family "5.8S ribosomal RNA". The record is from RNAcentral. Lineage: Eukaryota; Fungi; Ascomycota; Pichiomycetes; Serinales; Debaryomycetaceae.